RNAcentral lists this ribosomal RNA (234 nucleotides) under uncultured bacterium. RNAcentral's name for it is "partial 16S ribosomal RNA". It matches the Rfam family "Bacterial small subunit ribosomal RNA", at positions 524 to 756 of the family's 1533-position model. The record is from RNAcentral.
GACAGAGGAGCCAAGCGUUGUCCGGAUUGACUGGGCGUAAAGCGCACGCAGGCGGCCCGGCGCGUGGGGUGUGAAAGCUGGCGGCUUAACUGCCAGACGCCAUCCCAUACGGCUGGGCUCGAGCCCUGCAGACGGUCCAUGGAAUUGCCGGUGUAGUGGUGAAAUGCGUAGAUAUCUGGAGGAACACCGGUGGCGAAGGCGGCAUCCUGGACCAACACUGACACUGAGGAGCGA